Molecule: ribosomal RNA, 588 nt
Filed under: uncultured bacterium
Lineage: Bacteria
Description: bacterial SSU rRNA
Rfam family: Bacterial small subunit ribosomal RNA
Source: RNAcentral
CCUACGGGAGGCAGUAGUGGGGAAUUUUGGACAAUGGGCGAAAGCCUGAUCCAGCAAUGCCGCGUGAGUGAAGAAGGCCUUCGGGUUGUAAAGCUCUUUUGUCAGGGAAGAAACGGUGAAAGCUAAUAUCUUUUGCUAAUGACGGUACCUGAAGAAUAAGCACCGGCUAACUACGUGCCAGCAGCCGCGGUAAUACGUAGGGUGCAAGCGUUAAUCGGAAUUACUGGGCGUAAAGCGUGCGCAGGCGGUUUUGUAAGUCUGAUGUGAAAUCCCCGGGCUCAACCUGGGAAUUGCAUUGGAGACUGCAAGGCUAGAAUCUGGCAGAGGGGGGUAGAAUUCCACGUGUAGCAGUGAAAUGCGUAGAUAUGUGGAGGAACACCGAUGGCGAAGGCAGCCCCCUGGGUCAAGAUUGACGCUCAUGCACGAAAGCGUGGGGAGCAAACAGGAUUAGAUACCCUGGUAGUCCACGCCCUAAACGAUGUCUACUAGUUGUCGGGUCUUAAUUGACUUGGUAACGCAGCUAACGCGUGAAGUAGACCGCCUGGGGAUACGGUCGCAAGAUUAAAACCGUCAAAGUGAAAUUGACGG